This 403-nucleotide ribosomal RNA is filed under the name uncultured Salpingoecidae. RNAcentral's name for it is "partial small subunit ribosomal RNA". It matches the Rfam family "Eukaryotic small subunit ribosomal RNA", at positions 30 to 432 of the family's 1831-position model. Lineage: Eukaryota; Choanoflagellata; Craspedida; Salpingoecidae. The record is from RNAcentral.
GCUUGUCUCAAAGAUUAAGCCAUGCAUGUCUAAGUACAAGCCUCAGUAAGGUGAAACCGCGAAUGGCUCAUUAAAUCACACCUAAUCUACUGGAAAGUUACUAGUUACUUGGAUAACUGAGGUAAUUCUUGAGCUAAUACAUGCGAAAAGACCCGACUUUGCGGAAGGGUUGCAUUUAUUAGAUACAAAACCAAUGCGGGGCAACCCGGUUGUUGGUGAUUCAUAAUAACUUUUGCGGAUCGCAUGGCCUUGAGCCGGCGACGAAUCAUUCAAAUUUCUGCCCUAUCAACUUUCGAUGGUACGGUAUUGGCCUACCAUGGUUACCACGGGUAACGGGGAAUUAGGGUUCGGUUCCGGAGAGGGGGCCUGAGAAAUGGCCACCACAUCCAAGGAAGGCAGCAGG